AGAGUGCCUGGGGGAUGUUCCGGCGUUGAGAGGCGAUGAAGGACGUGGGACGGCUGCGUAAAGCUGCGGUGAGCUGCCAACCAAGCAUUGACCCGCAGAUGUCCGAAUCCGGAAACGGCUAGGAGCAUGCUCCUAGAUCCACGGCUGAAUCCAUAGGCCGUGGAGGCGAACGAGGGGAACUGAAACAUCUCAGUACCCUCAGGAAGAGAAAGAAACAUCGACUUCCUCAGUAGCGGCGAGCGAACGGGAAUGAGCCCAAACCGAUGGCCUGUAAGCCUGCAGGCGUUUUGUCAUCGGGGUUGUGGGAAGCACGUCAUCGUCCUGCAGGACGGUGGGCAAGUCAUAAAACCAUGUUCUAGUGGAAGGUCCUGGAAAGUUCCGCCACAGACGGUGAUAGCCCGGUACACGAAAGGGCAUGGUCUUGCUGUUGCUCUCCCGAGUAGCGCCAGACACGGGAAACCUGGUGUGAAGCUGGGGGGACCACCCCCCAAGGCUAAGUACUCCUCAACGACCGAUAGUGAAUGAGUAGCGUGAGCGAACAAUGAAAAGUACCCCGGUGAGGGGAGUGAAAUAGUACCUGAAACCGAUUGCCUACAAUCCGUCGGAGCCUUCCUUGUGGGGGUGACGGCGUGCCUUUUGAAGAAUGAGCCUGCGAGUUAGUGGUACGUCGCGAGGUUAACCCGUGGGGGGUAGCCGUAGCGAAAGCGAGUCCUAAUAGGGCGGUGAGUGGCGUGCUCUAGACCCGAAGCGGAGUGAUCUAUCCAUGGCCAGGUUGAAGCGACGGUAAGACGUCGUGGAGGACCGAACCCACCUAGGU
This 817-nucleotide ribosomal RNA is filed under the name Astrosyne radiata. RNAcentral's name for it is "partial Bacterial large subunit ribosomal RNA". It matches the Rfam family "Bacterial large subunit ribosomal RNA", at positions 14 to 789 of the family's 2925-position model. The record is from RNAcentral. Lineage: Eukaryota; Bacillariophyta; Fragilariophyceae; Cyclophorales; Cyclophoraceae.